AUUGAACGCUGGCGGCAUGCUUUACACAUGCAAGUCGAACGGUAACAGGCCGCAAGGUGCUGACGAGUGGCGAACGGGCGAGUAAUGCAUCGGAACGUGCCCAGUCGUGGGGGUUAACUACUCGAAAGAGUAGCUAAUACCGCAUCCGAUCUAUGGAUGAAAGCGGGGGACCGUAAGGCCUCGCGCGAUUGGAGCGGCCGGUGUCCGAUUCGGUAGUUGGUGGGGUAAAGGCUCACCAUGCCAACGAUCUGUAGCUGGUCUGAGAGAACGACCAGCCACACGGGGACUGAGACACGGCCCAGACUCCUACGGGAGGCAGCAGUGGGGAAUUGUGGACAAUGGGCGCAAGCCUGAUCCAGCAAUGCCGCGUGCAGGAAGAAGGCCUUCGGGUUGUAAACUGCUUUUGUACGGAACGAAACGGCUCUGGUUAAUACCCGGGGCUAAUGACGGUACCGGAAGAAUAAGCACCGGCUAACUACGUG
This 482-nucleotide ribosomal RNA is filed under the name uncultured bacterium. RNAcentral describes it as "partial 16S ribosomal RNA". It matches the Rfam family "Bacterial small subunit ribosomal RNA", at positions 30 to 507 of the family's 1533-position model. The record is from RNAcentral.